Mastomys coucha (southern multimammate mouse) is the source of this 182-nucleotide long non-coding RNA. RefSeq lists it as uncharacterized. The transcript has 2 exons. The record is from RefSeq and is a predicted model, not a curated record. NCBI's taxonomy places the organism in Eukaryota, Metazoa, Chordata, Mammalia, Rodentia, Muridae.
CCACCACAACCGCUCACAACCACCUAUAAUGAGAUCUGACACCUUCUUUUGGACCCACAUGAUGAAGGAGAGAAGCGGCCCCAGCAAGUUGUCUUCCGAUUGCUACGCACAAGCCAUGGUGCCCAAGUCUACAAGUGCACACACAGUAAAUACAUAAAUAAACAAAUGCAAUUUUAAAAACA